ACCUUUCUGUGUUUGCUUUUAGAAAAAGGAAAAAGUCGAGCUACCCACGCCCGGCGGUGGCUCUUGUUUAUAUUUUAUAAAUAUAGAUGGUGGUGGUCGUGUCUGCUCUGAAACUUCAGUAUGCAUGAAAGGAUUUUAAUUUUCUUUUACAUAUGAAACAACCAUAUAUAUAUAGAGUGUGUCGCGAACAAGACUCUGGGGUUUCUACGAGUAAGGUCAAGGUCACUUUGGGGAUUCAAACUUUGUCAUUUUUUAUACCCCCGCAGAACAAAAUUGUAAGGGGAGUAUACUGGAAUGAGCUUGUCCGUCCGGCUGUCCGGCCGUCUGGCUUUCCGUAUGAACCCAGAGGUACUUGUGUGACUUAGAGAACAAUGGGUAAGAGAAAAUUCUCUUUGAUCCUAUUCAUUCCGUUUUUUCUUGUGUGUCUUUUUUUGAGCCUUGUGUGACUAAAAAUGGCCAAAAAGAUCAAAAGAAAAGUCACAUAAGUACCAUUUUGUGAGUACAUCCGGCCGUCUGGCGUCCGUCGGUUUUUAGCUCACCUUGCACAUAGUGCAGGUGAGCUUUUAGGAUGGCCAAUCAAAAGCGUCCGGCGUCCGGUGUCCGUCCACAUUUUAUUUAGACGACAUCUUCUAUAAUACCACUUGACCAAUAUUAAUGAAACUUGGCAGGAAUACUCAUUGUAUGAAGCUCUAUCAAGAGUGUUCAAAGAAUGCCAUUCCAUGCUAAACUCUGGUUGCUAUGGCAACUAAAAAAAAAACUUAAAAGUUCUUAUACUUCAAAAUGGAAAGGGCUAGAGCUUAGAUAUUUCUCACAAGGCAUGAGCUUGUUGGUUUCUACAAAGUAUAAUCAGAUUAUGGUCUACAGUUGAAAAUUGGUCUCUGUUUUGGGGGUUAAAGGUUUUUUUUAUUGCAAGAUUGUAUAACUGUCUUUGUAGGGAUAAAUUGAGAGUGUAUCUUGUAUUUUUUGUCUCAACAGACAUUGUUUUGAGGAUUUUUUCUGUUAAAGCAUUAGAAAGAUGAAAAUGUUGAAUGUGAAUUUUAAUUCAAACAAAGUCAAUCAGAAUAGCCCCAAUUUCAGAGAUACAGUGUAGUUGAUUACCCCAUUCAAUAAUGGAUUAUUCCUUUAAUUUUGUAACAUCAUCAGAAAGGAGACUGUGUCAUUUCCGAAAUAAAAUGCAAUGUAUUUUGGUUCUUGACAUUGACUUGCACAUUUUAUUGUGUAAGAUAUUGCACAAAGAAAUGAAAGUGAACAAAAAAGGUUGUAUUUUUUCACAAAAAAUAGCUUAUUAAGAUAAAAGUUUAAUUUACAGUGCGGAUAUUACUUAAAUUCUUCCUUCCGGUUUGCGGGAAAAUCAUAUAUUUCAACAUUGUGUACACCGGUCUUACUGAAUCUGCUGAACGAUUUAUGACAUAAUAUUUCAUUCUGAUUAUAAACAUACAAUUCAAAUCAUUAAAUAAUAGAUAUCAAUCAGUCCUGAGUCUUAGAAAACAUCUGUAUCAAUCUGACCUAUAAACUAAACUAAACUGGAAUUAGGACAAAAUGGCGGCCUUGAACAAGGAAAUUGAGAAAUUUUGUAACAUAAACUCGUAUUUCAAAACAAAGAAGUGAAGAUGACAACAAUUAUCGGUGUGCUUCGUUGAAACAGGUAUUUUGUUAACUAUUUAUGAAGUAUUAAGGGAUGACAUUUAGUAUUUAUGUAAAUAUCACCUCCCGUGAUAUGAUUUCUAAAAUUAUACAUUUCGGCGAUCUCCGAGGUCAUUUUUCUGAAUGAUGUAAAUCCGAUGAGAAAUCGGGAAGGGUGUGUGUGCAUGCCUCAUUAAUUAGCGUGUGCACAUUGCUUGAUAAUGCUUGAUAUAUAUUUUAAAAUAAAUUUGUCCAUCUCAGACCAGUUUGUAAACGAAUCAAAACAAUUACAAUACGGAGAUUGCCGAUGAAAAAUUGAGCUAGAAUAUAUAAGAUCAGAUUUGAUUGGUCGUCGUAAUUUUUACCAGCCAAUGAAAUCGUUUGUUGUAUAGUCAUUUGAUGUCAAAAUACAUCUACAAAUACAAUGACAACAACAGUGCUGGUGUUAAUACUAACAAUCUGAAAAAGGGUGCAAAAAACAAAUGGAGGUGGGAGUGGUUAGCGGAAAAGGACUCUAAAGGUGAAAAAUGGGAUGCUUGGUUGAAAAAACCAAAUGCCAUGGGCUUUUGUGAAGUCUGUUCCAAAACGAUCAACUAGACAAAUCGAACAGAAAAAGGUGCUUCUUAAUCACGAUGAGCUGAAGAUGAGGUCCACUAAAAGAAUCUUCGACCAAGUACUGCCAGGCUCAUCAAAAGCUGUGGACAAAAAGAUUGAAAGUAUGCAAGAUCGCAUUGCCAAACAAAGAGCAAUCACAACUGCCUUUCUAAGUGAACAUUGACUGCCAUUUUCCAUAGCAGGCGAUCUCUAACAUCUUGCCAAACGUUUAGCUGAAGACAAGCCUGCUCUUGAAAAAACUACUCUUUCUCCAACCAGUGCAAUUUACAUAACAACACAUGGUGUAGCCAAAUCUGUUAAGGAUGGAGUGAAGUCAAAAGUGAAAGAUAAGUUAAUAUCUUUGAAUAUGGAUAAGGCAACUAACAAAAAUCAAUAACAAAGUACUGAAUAUAAUCUUUCAGUACUUUAAUGAUGAAACUAGUCAAGUAGUAAUGGAUCAUUUAGAAUUGAGAAUUCAAAAUGUUUCCACAUCUGAAGAAAUUGUCAAGUCAGUUGAAAGUGUGCUGCAUCAACAAGUGGAAGACAAUGGAAAAGGAUUAAAUUUAAGAUAUGAAUUUGAAAAUAGUAAAAAGAAUGAACAUAAUUUGUUAUGUGGAAUGUGUAUAGAUUGCUUAAAUAGUAUUGCUCAGUGAAUUUGUGUAAAUUUUAACAUAUCAGAUUAAUUACAUCUGAAGAUAAAUAAAGCACUUGAGUAUGUAUUUGAGCCUUUUUUUGAACUUUUAAAUUCACUAAAUUGCAAAAGCUUCUGAGGGCCUCCAGCCCCCUGAACCCCUAGCCAGGGCGUUGCCCUGGACCCACCGUAGGGGCCCCCUGGCCCCCAACUUUUUCUUUCAGUAUUUUCAGUUUCUGUAACUUUUACCCCUGCAUGUACACAUGUGUUUAUCACCUCAAUAAAUGUAAGUGAAAAUGGAACAAUAAUUAUGGUAAUUAUCCAUGGUGCUAGAAAUACUUAAUUAUCUUUAUCAUCAUGUUAACUAAGCAAGAAGCUUAUAAUUGCCUAACCUUACAAUAGUUAUCAAUUUAAACUUGAAAAUCUACCCUAAAUGACUUCCCAAACAGUAAUUUCUGAAAACAUGAAAAUGAUUCGUGUAGAAAAAUAACACAAGAAAAAACUGAUUUGACUCAUGAAAAUUUUUGGCCAAACAGUCUGCCACGUGAAAUUCUGACCUUCCUGAGAUCCCUGCUGUUUUUAGCUCACCUGAGCACGAAGUGCUCAAAGGUGAGCUUUUGUCAUCACUCUGCGUCCGUCGUGCGUCGUGCGUCCUUCAAAAAAUGGCGUCAAACUUUUCAAACAACAUCUCCUCCUAAACUACAUGGCCAAUUGCAACCAAACUUUACAGAAAUGAUCCUUAGGUUGACCCCUUUCAAAGUUGUUCAAAAAUUUAAAUUCCAUUAAAAACUCUGGUUGCCAUGGCAACCAUUAAGAAAAACUUUAAAAAUCUUCUUCUAAAAAACCAUAAGAGCUAGAGCUUAGAUAUUUGGCAUGAAACAUCUUCUAAUGAGUGCCUACCAAGUUUGUUCAAAUCAAAGCCCUAGGGUCAAAAUUGGCCCCGCCCCAGGGGGUCAUUGAUUUUCCCUAUAUGCAUAUAGUAAAAACUUAAAAAAUCUUCUUUUAAAGAACUCAAAGAGCUAGAGCUAAGAUAUUCAGCAUGAAACAUGUUCUAAUGGGUGUCUACCAAGUUUGUUCAAAUAAAAGCCCUGGGGUCAAAAUUGGCUCCGCCCCGGGGGUCAUUGAUUUUCCUUAUAUGUGUAUAGCAAAAACUUAAAAAAUCUUCUUUAAAAAAACCCAAAUAGCUGGAGUUUAGCUAUUAAGCAUGAAACAUCUUCUAGUGAGUGUCUACAAAGUUUGUUCAAAUCAAAGCCCUAGGGCCAAAUUGGCCCCGCCCCGGGGGUCAUUGAUUUUCCUUAUAUGACUGUGUAUAGCAAAAACUUAAAAAUAUUCUUUGAAAAAACCCAGAUAGCUAGUGUUUAGAUAUAAAGCAUGAAACAUCUUCUAGUGAGUGUCUACCAAGUUUGUUCAAAUAAAAGCCCUGGGGUCAAAAUUGGCCCCGCCCCAGGGUGUCUUUGAUUUUCCCUAUAUGCAUAUAGUUAAAACUUAAAAAAAUCUUCUUUUAAAGAACCCAAAGAGCUAGAGCUAAGAUAUUUAGCAUGAAACAUCUGCUAAUGAGUGUCUACAAAGUUUGUUCAAAUAAAAGCCCUGGGGUCAAAAUUGGCCCCGCCCCGGGGGGUCAUUGAUUUUCCCUAUAUGCAUAUAGUAAAAACUUAAAAAUCUUCUUUUAAAGAACCUUAAGAGCUAGAGCUAAGAUAUUAAGCAUGAAACAUCUUCUAGUGAGUGUCUACCAAGUUUGUUCAAAUAAAAGCCAUGGGGUCAAAAUUGGCCCCGCCCCAGGGGGUCAUUGAUUUUCCCUAUAUGCAUAUAGUAAAAACUUAAAAAUCUUCUUUUAAAGAACCCAAAGAGCUAGAGCUAAGAUAUUAAGCAUGAAACAUCUUCUAGUGAGUGUCUACCAAGUUUGUUCAAAUUAAAGCCCUGUGGUCAAAAUUGGCCCCACCCCGGGGGGUCAUCGAUUUUCCCUAUAUGCAUAUAGUAAAAACUUAAAAAAUCUUCUUUUAAAGAACCUUAAGAGCUAGAGCUAAAAUAUUUGGCAUGAAACAUCUUCUAGUGCAUGUCUACCAAGUUUGUUCAAAUAAAAGCCCUGGGGUCAAAAUUGACCCCGCCCCAGGGGGUCAUAGAUUUUCCCUAUAUGCAUAUAGUAAAAACUUAAAAUUUCUUCUUUUAAAGAACCCAAAGAGCUAGAGCUAAGAUAUUUAGCAUGAAACAUCUUCUAAUGAGUGUCUACCAAGUUUGU
Ruditapes philippinarum (Manila clam) is the source of this 5084-nucleotide long non-coding RNA. RefSeq lists it as uncharacterized. NCBI's taxonomy places the organism in Eukaryota, Metazoa, Mollusca, Bivalvia, Venerida, Veneridae. The record is from RefSeq and is a predicted model, not a curated record. The transcript is spliced from 2 exons.